UUUUUUUUUAUGUAAAUCGAUUGCAAUUGAUGGAAUAUCUUUAAAAGACAGAAUUCACAAAAUAAUGCUGAGAGUAUUUUCGAAAAGUUAUAUGGCCUCCACGGAUAUGAAGGGAACAGCUUCUUCUAUUGUAUUCAAUGGACUAAAAGAAAUCUCGGUUAAUGGAACAUUGUUUGACUUUCUAAAUUACGCUCUUUUUCAAAAAGGUGGUGGAAAAGAAAAAAAAUUU
This is a non-coding RNA of Hydra vulgaris (swiftwater hydra), 229 nucleotides long. NCBI's taxonomy places the organism in Eukaryota, Metazoa, Cnidaria, Hydrozoa, Anthoathecata, Hydridae. The record is from RefSeq and is a predicted model, not a curated record.